CCGGCCUGCGCUGUUCUCUUCUCCUGGCUUAUGUAAGCACCGCCUCAUCCUACAUCCGUAUCCAGUGUGAGCCCGGGAUACCAAAAGGCAACUUCCGAUUGGUUGUUUUUGUGUGGGUCCAACAAAGAGAGUUAUGAGGACCUUUCUGGUAGCGCAUUCUUUCGUGCGUGGUGACUGGGACGGGACACAGGUGACACACCCCUUCCCCACUCACCCACUUAAAAAUGCUCCGACCGGCCGGCCAUUCCCAUGGCUUCUCCUCGCCCGCUACCCCGAGUCCGUCCCCUCUGCGCUCUCUUCCUCUCUCUUCUCUUUCUCGUUUUCCUCCUCCCAUGGGCGGCCGGCUCUUCUCCGCUGGAGUCAUCCCACCUAUAUCGAGUCCUCCACGUCCAAGAACGGGAGCGCUUACCGCCCGCCGUCCAGGUGGCCGCCGCCCGUGGCCUUCUCGCCCGCCUCCUCCCAUUCCACGUUUCCAGCUUCGAAUUCGAGAUCGUUUCCAAGGACUACGCGUUUCUGCAAUUCUUGAAAGGUUUGUGUUGAAUCGAGGCUUUAUGGGUUUGAUUCUUGA
Musa acuminata AAA Group (dessert banana) is the source of this 568-nucleotide long non-coding RNA. RefSeq lists it as uncharacterized. Lineage: Eukaryota; Viridiplantae; Streptophyta; Magnoliopsida; Zingiberales; Musaceae. The record is from RefSeq and is a predicted model, not a curated record. The transcript is spliced from 2 exons.